RNAcentral lists this ribosomal RNA (894 nucleotides) under uncultured bacterium. RNAcentral describes it as "bacterial SSU rRNA". It matches the Rfam family "Bacterial small subunit ribosomal RNA", at positions 55 to 932 of the family's 1533-position model. The record is from RNAcentral.
AUGCAAGUAGAACGCUGAAGGAGGAGCUUGCUCUCUCUGGAUGAGUUGCGAACGGGUGAGUAACGCGUAGGUAACCCGCCUGGUAGCGGGGGAUAACUAUUGGAAACGAUAGCUAAUACCGCAUAACAGUAGAUGUUGCAUGACAUUUGCUUAAAAGGUGCAAUUGCAUCACUACCAGAUGGACCUGCGUUGUAUUAGCUAGUUGGUGGGGUAACGGCUCACCAAGGCGACGAUACAUAGCCGACCUGAGAGGGUGAUCGGCCACACUGGGACUGAGACACGGCCCAAACUCCUACGGGAGGCAGCAGUAGGGAAUCUUCGGCAAUGGACGGAAGUCUGACCGAGCAACGCCGCGUGAGUGAAGAAGGUUUUCGGAUCGUAAAGCUCUGUUGUAAGAGAAGAACGAGUGUGAGAGUGGAAAGUUCACACUGUGACGGUAUCUUACCAGAAAGGGACGGCUAACUACGUGCCAGCAGCCGCGGUAAUACGUAGGUCCCGAGCGUUGUCCGGAUUUAUUGGGCGUAAAGCGAGCGCAGGCGGUUAGAUAAGUCUGAAGUUAAAGGCUGUGGCUUAACCAUAGUACGCUUUGGAAACUGUUUAACUUGAGUGCAAGAGGGGAGAGUGGAAUUCCAUGUGUAGCGGUGAAAUGCGUAGAUAUAUGGAGGAACACCGGUGGCGAAAGCGGCUCUCUGGCUUGUAACUGACGCUGAGGCUCGAAAGCGUGGGGAGCAAACAGGAUUAGAUACCCUGGUAGUCCACGCCGUAAACGAUGAGUGCUAGGUGUUAGACCCUUUCCGGGGUUUAGUGCCGUAGCUAACGCAUUAAGCACUCCGCCUGGGGAGUACGACCGCAAGGUUGAAACUCAAAGGAAUUGACGGGGGCCCGCACAAGCGG